CCUACGGGUGGCAGCAGUGAGGAAUAUUGGUCAAUGGACGCGAGUCUGAACCAGCCAAGUAGCGUGAAGGAUGACUGCCCUACGGGUUGUAAACUUCUUUUAUAAAGGAAUAAAAUGAGGCACGUGUGCCUUUUUGCAUGUACUUUAUGAAUAAGGAUCGGCUAACUCCGUGCCAGCAGCCGCGGUAAUACGGAGGAUCCGAGCGUUAUCCGGAUUUAUUGGGUUUAAAGGGAGCGUAGAUGGGUUGUUAAGUCAGUUGUAAAAGUUUGCGGCUCAACCGUAAAAUUGCAAUUGAUACUGGAGGUCUUAGGAAAGGUGGAGUAGGGGGAAAUUGGUGGUGUGGGGGUAAA
RNAcentral lists this ribosomal RNA (350 nucleotides) under uncultured bacterium. RNAcentral describes it as "partial 16S ribosomal RNA". It matches the Rfam family "Bacterial small subunit ribosomal RNA", at positions 338 to 685 of the family's 1533-position model. The record is from RNAcentral.